GACCUACUUGACUCAGCGGUUAGAGUAUCGCUUUCAUACGGCGAGAGUCAUGGUUCAAAUCCAAUAGUAGGUAA
RNAcentral lists this transfer RNA (74 nucleotides) under Helianthus annuus (common sunflower). RNAcentral describes it as "tRNA-Met". It matches the Rfam family "tRNA". From Rfam's summary of the family: Transfer RNA (tRNA) molecules are approximately 80 nucleotides in length. Their secondary structure includes four short double-helical elements and three loops (D, anti-codon, and T loops). Further hydrogen bonds mediate the characteristic L-shaped molecular structure. tRNAs have two regions of fundamental functional importance: the anti-codon, which is responsible for specific mRNA codon recognition, and the 3' end, to which the tRNAs corresponding amino acid is attached (by aminoacyl-tRNA synthetases). tRNAs cope with the degeneracy of the genetic code in two manners: having more than one tRNA (with a specific anti-codon) for a particular amino acid; and 'wobble' base-pairing, i.e. permitting non-standard base-pairing at the 3rd anti-codon position. Lineage: Eukaryota; Viridiplantae; Streptophyta; Magnoliopsida; Asterales; Asteraceae. The record is from RNAcentral.